RNAcentral lists this transfer RNA (72 nucleotides) under Camelus bactrianus (Bactrian camel). It matches the Rfam family "tRNA". Rfam says of the family: Transfer RNA (tRNA) molecules are approximately 80 nucleotides in length. Their secondary structure includes four short double-helical elements and three loops (D, anti-codon, and T loops). The record is from Rfam by way of RNAcentral. Lineage: Eukaryota; Metazoa; Chordata; Mammalia; Artiodactyla; Camelidae. RNAcentral also lists the same sequence under 1 other name.
GAGGGUAUAGCUCAGUGGUGGAGCACAUGCUUAGCAUGCACAAGGUCCUGGGUUCAAUCCCUAGUAUCUCUG